GGGGGGGGGGGGGGGGGGGGCGGGGGGGGGGAGGGCGGGCGGGUGGGGGGGGGUUGCGCCUGGCUGCGGCGGCGGACGGGUGAGUGGUGCCUCGGAGUGUGGCUGGUCGUGGGGGAUGGCGUCCGGCCACGUGCGCUGAUACCGCAUACGUCCUGAGGGCGAAAUGGGGGGCUCUUCGGACCUCCCGAUCUCAUGUUCGCCUAGGUCGGAUUAGCUAGUUGGUUGGGUAAAGUCCUACCACAGCGACGAUCCGUACCUGGUCUGAGAGGAUGAUCAGGCACACUGGAACUGAGACACGGUCCAGACUCCUACGGGAGGCAGCAGUGGGGAAUAUUGGACAAUGGGCGAAAGCCUGAUCCAGCCAUGCAGCGUGUGUGAAGAAGGUCUUCGGAUUGUAAAGCACUUUAAGUGGGGAGGAAGGGCAGUAAGGUAAUACCUUGCUGUUUUGACGGUACCAACAGAAUAAGCACCGGCUAACUUCGUG
This 484-nucleotide ribosomal RNA is filed under the name uncultured bacterium. Its description in RNAcentral is "partial 16S ribosomal RNA". The stretch from base 53 to 484 matches the Rfam family "Bacterial small subunit ribosomal RNA", at positions 39 to 507 of the family's 1533-position model. The record is from RNAcentral.